RNAcentral lists this non-coding RNA (28 nucleotides) under Bombyx mori (domestic silkworm). Lineage: Eukaryota; Metazoa; Arthropoda; Insecta; Lepidoptera; Bombycidae. The record is from RNAcentral.
UCGAUUCUGUAUCUUGUGCGGAAUGAGC